Molecule: long non-coding RNA, 3348 nt
Organism: Cannabis sativa
Lineage: Eukaryota; Viridiplantae; Streptophyta; Magnoliopsida; Rosales; Cannabaceae
Exons: 2
Source: RefSeq, a predicted model, not a curated record
UUUUUUAUUCCUUUAUUUCUAAUUAAUCGGAUCUUAUAAGAUUUAUAUUGUUUCCAUUUUAAAUUCCCCGUAAUCAAUUGGAUUUUAAUUUUGGGAUCUUUUCAUUUGUAUAUUUAUAAUUAUUCUUUCAUUCAUUUAUACGGUAAAAAAUACACCAAAAACUCUAUCUUUUUCCCUUUCAGCUGCCGCCUCUCCUUCUUCUCCUUCUUCAUUGUCGCUGACAGACUUGUGCAAUGGGAAGUGCGACAACUACGACGGUUGGGAGCUUCUAUUUCAUCGACGACCGUUGCUGCUUCCCUUUGAAGUCGAUGUUGUGGAGGUGAAAUUUCUCGCCCCGAGUCGCGUCCAUGGCCAAGGCUUACCCCUAGCUGGAGAAAGUACACCUGAAGCAUCCUUCCUUGGAUUUAAAGAGCUCGUCCUAGUUUGUUGCGAGGGUUAGGACUUGGAGUAUAUCUUUAUCCAAUGGAGAGAACCACUUUGAUCAAUUUUCAGUGAUGAACUUUGGUAUUAUUGUAAUCUUCAAAAUAUAUUAUGUGUAUCAUCAAAUAUGUUAUGUGUUACUUUAUACAACUAUAUAUAUAUAGAUUAUAUAUGUAUAUGUUUAAUCUGUUGUAUAUAUGCUUUAUGAGAUUCGCGCGUAUAUUGGUAUUGGUACGUUUAAUCUAUUUUCUUUUUCUUCAAAAUUAAUCUUCUAGUUUUAUGAUCAAUCAAAAGACUAAAUUAUAUUCAGGUAUCUCCAAUUGGUUAGCCUUUGCCUUUUGUUUCUCGAAUACUCAGUUUGGUCAGCCUUUGUUUUGUGUCUUUGAGUUGCAUUAUGUUUUUGUUUUAGCUUUGUCUAACAAUAGUGUUUAUCACUCGUGUCUCUCCUCUAAGGACUUUGGUUUGAUCUUUUCCUUAUAAUCAACUUGUUUAAAGGUUUUGCAUGUUUUAGUUUUCGUAUAAUUAGCUUGGUUAGCCUUUGUUUUGUAUUCUUUAAUUUGAACUGUGUUUUUCUUUUAGCAUUCGUAUCUGUCCUCUGAGGAUUUCGGUUAGAUCAUGUCCCUAUAAUCAACUUGUUUUCUUAUACUCGGCUUGGUUAGUCUUUGGUUAUUCAUCUAUUUGCCAUAUAUAUUUACUUUUUUAUCAUUUCAAACCAGUAAUGUUUUUGUUAAUAUAAAAUGAUUAAAUGGGGCAUAUGCAUGUCUUGUUGCUCUAGGUGCAUGAUAACUUUUAGAGUUGAGUACAGAAAGUGUCUGUUGUCUCGUGCUUUUGAUGGUGCAACUUUUGUAUAUCUCACACUCAACAUUAUGUCGAAAGUAUUGAGGAAAUUAUUUCAAAAGCCCAACAUUCUCCAUUGGCUUCACUUUUUUCUUCACAGAUUUUGGUGCCUUAUUAACAAAUUCUCAUGGAAACAACAUAAUUUCGAAAUGGAAACAAUUAGCAUUAAACCUCAUAUAUAUAUAUAUAUAUAUAUAUAUAAAUAUAUAUAAUGAAAAAACAACUAAAAUUAAAUGAAAAUAAUUUUUCUUUGAAAUGGAAAUUUUAGUUUAUUACGAAAUGGAAAUAAAUAUUAUAAAAAUUGCAAACAACUCACAUUAAAAAUAAAAACAAUUUAAUCACAAAAAAUAAAAACAAUUAGCAUUUAAUCUUAUAUAUAUGUGUGUUAAAAUGAAAACAAAUAUUAUAAAAAAUAAAAAUAACUCACGUUAAAAAUAAAAACAAUUUAACCUUAAAAAUAAAAACAAUAUAAUCUCGAAAUGAAAAUAAUUAGCAUUUAGCCUCAUAUAUAUAUAUGUGAAAUGGAAACAACUAGCAUUGAAAAUGAAAAUAAUUUUUCAUCGAAAUGGAAAUUUUAGUUUGUUGCAAAAUAGAAGUAACUAGCAUUUAACCUCAUAUAUAUAUAUAUGUAUGAAAAUAAAAACAAAUAUAAUAAAAAUUAUAAACAACUCACUUUGAAAAUGGAAACAAUUUAACCACAAAAAAUAGAAACAACUAGCAUAUAACCUCGUAUAUAUAUAUAUAUAUAUAAAUAUAUAUGUGUGUGUGAAAUAAAAACAACUAGUAUUGAAAAUAGAAACAAUAUAACCUCGAAAUGGAAAAUGUAAUUUGUUGCGUAGUGGAAACAACUAGCAUUAAAUCUCAUAUAACAUAAAAAGUGGAAACAACUCACAUUGAAAAUGGAAACACUUUAACCUCAAAAAAUAGAAAUAACAUAACCUUCAAAUAGAAACAACUAGCAUUGAAAAUAGAAACAAUUCAAAUUAAAAAUACAAAUAGUUUAACCUCAAAAAAAAAAAAAAAAAAAAAAAAAAAAAAACUAGCACAAUAUAUAUGUGUCAAAAUAGAAACAACUCACAUUGAAAAUGAAAAUAAAUCAUAUUAAAAAUAAAAUAAUUUAACCUCAAAAAAUGGAAACAAUAUAACUUUGAAAUGGAAACAACUAGCAUUGAAAAUAGAAACAAUUUAAAUUGAAAAUACAAAUAAUAUAACUUCAAAAUAGAAAUAACUAGUAUUUAACCUCAUAUAUAUGUGUGUCAAAAUAGAUACAAAUAUCAUAAAAAUAAAAAGAACUCACAUUGAAAAUGGAAAUAAUUUCAGUUUAAAAAAUUGAACAACAUAACUUCGAAAUGUAAACAACUAGCAUGAAAAUGGAAACAAUUUUUCCACAAAAUGAAAAUUUUAGUUUGUUGCGAAAUGAAAUCAACUAGCAUUUAACCUCAUAUAUAUAUAUAUAUAUAUAUAUAUAUAUAUAUACAUAUAUAUAUAUAUGUGGUGUGUGAAAAUAGAAAUAAAUAUCAUAAAAAAUAGAAACGACUCACAUUGAAAAUGGAAACAAUUUAACUACAAAAAAUAGAAACAACUAGCAUUUAACCUCAUAUAUGAGUGAAAUGGAAACGAAUAGCACUAAAAACGAAAACAAUAUAACCUUGAAAUGGAAAUUAUAGUUUGUUGCGUAAUUGAAACAAAUAGCAUUUAACCUCAUAUAUCAUAAAAUAAUUUAAACAACUCACAUUGAAAAAAAAAACAAUUUAAUCACAAAAAUUAGCAUUUAACCUCGUAUUUAUAUAUAUAAAUGUGAAAUAAAAAUAACUAGCAUUGAAAAUAGAAAUAAUAUAACUUUGAAAUGGAAACUAUAGUUUGUUGUGUAAUGGAAACAACUAUCAUUCAAACUCAUAUAACAUAAAAAGUGGAAACAACUCACAUUAAAAAUAGAAACAAUUUAAUCUCAAAAAAUAGAAAUAACAUAACCUUGAAAUAAAAACAACUAGCAUUGAAAAUGGAAACAAUUCAAAUUAAAAAUACAAAUAAUUUAAGCUCGAAAUGGAAAAAAAGAAAAACUAGUAUUUAACCUCAUAUAUAUAUAUGUAU